Molecule: long non-coding RNA, 377 nt
Filed under: Marmota monax (woodchuck)
Lineage: Eukaryota; Metazoa; Chordata; Mammalia; Rodentia; Sciuridae
Source: RNAcentral
GAAAUAUUCGUUGUGGGCUCCAGGAGGUGGGGAUGUGGGUGUUCCCAUUCUUUCAACUUUUCUGUGUUUUUGAAAAUGUUCUUUAUAAAACACUGGGGAGCAAAAAUUGGUUUUAAAAUCAUUCUUUCUCUUUCCCCAAAACCCCUAACUGACAUGCUUCUUCCAUGAGAAAAUCCUGAUGGAUUGAGACAGGAAGCUCACAGCUCUGCUCUUUUUAAUUUUUUGCUAGAUGAUUUUAACUCUUCCCUCAGUUCUUGGCAGGAUGCUCUCUCUUUCCCUCCCACUUUGGUUCUUGCUUUUCACCUGAUGAUGGAAGGGAAAUUCUAUCCUAACUGGACCUGAAUCCCCAAGCCCUGGCACCUACUUGCAACCCAAUA